GCUGGGUGGGGUGGUGUCUCCCUGUAAUCCCAGCUACUCUGGAGGUUGAGGCAGGAGGAUUGCAAGCUCAAGCCCAGUUUGGCAAUUUAGUGAGAUCCUGUCUCAA
RNAcentral lists this small RNA (106 nucleotides) under Marmota monax (woodchuck). Lineage: Eukaryota; Metazoa; Chordata; Mammalia; Rodentia; Sciuridae. The record is from RNAcentral.